GGAUGCGCUCAUACCAGCACUAAAGAACCGGAUCCCAUCAGAACUCCGAAGUUAAGCGUGCUUGGGCGAGAGUAGUACUAGGAUGGGUGACCAGUAGUACUAGGAUGGGUGACCUCCUGGGAAGUCCUCGUGUUGCAUUCC
This 141-nucleotide ribosomal RNA is filed under the name Triticum aestivum (bread wheat). RNAcentral also lists the same sequence under 1 other name. The record is from RNAcentral. Lineage: Eukaryota; Viridiplantae; Streptophyta; Magnoliopsida; Poales; Poaceae.